CAAAAAGCAAGCUUGAGUAGCUUGGGCUUCACCUCUUGUUUUCAGGAUGUGCUUACCUAAAGUGGAGAACACUGUUGGCGAGGACUGGUAGCUUAUGCUUAGGGAAGACACUGGACAUCUGUUUUCAGAUAUCACAAAGCUAAGAGACAGUGCUGAAAUCUAGGAUGAGUCACAGCAUCACCAAGAUUGGAGAAGACCUCCAAGAUCAUCCAGUCCAGCCCUCCACCUACCACCAUUUCUCCCCCCUAAAACAUGUCUGGUAACAUCUUUGCAUUCAAGGCUGUCUGGGUGCCCAACCCUGACGUGGC
RNAcentral lists this long non-coding RNA (308 nucleotides) under Gallus gallus (chicken). RNAcentral describes it as "lncRNA (ENSGALG00010021349.1)". The record is from RNAcentral. Lineage: Eukaryota; Metazoa; Chordata; Aves; Galliformes; Phasianidae.